Molecule: transfer RNA, 66 nt
Filed under: Ogmocotyle sp. JM-2015
Lineage: Eukaryota; Metazoa; Platyhelminthes; Trematoda; Plagiorchiida; Notocotylidae
Description: tRNA-Pro
Source: RNAcentral
GCCUCAUAGUUUAAUAAAAACAUGAAUUUUGGGGAUUUAAAAUCUUAGUUGUGCUAAGUAGGUUGA